This 428-nucleotide ribosomal RNA is filed under the name uncultured bacterium. RNAcentral describes it as "bacterial SSU rRNA". It matches the Rfam family "Bacterial small subunit ribosomal RNA", at positions 355 to 780 of the family's 1533-position model. The record is from RNAcentral.
UGAGGAAUAUUGGUCAAUGGACGAAAGUCUGAACCAGCCAUGCCGCGUGAAGGAAUAAGGCCCUAUGGGUCGUAAACUUCUUUUGUAUGUGAGCAAUAAGGUCCACGUGUGGACCGAUGAGAGUAGCAUACGAAUAAGCAUCGGCUAACUCCGUGCCAGCAGCCGCGGUAAUACGGAGGAUGCAAGCGUUAUCCGGAUUCAUUGGGUUUAAAGGGUGCGUAGGCGGCUUGGUAAGUCAGCGGUGAAAUUCCAGUGCUCAACAUUGGCCGUGCCGUUGAUACUGCUGGGCUUGAAUGCGGAUGCCGUGGGAGGAAUGUGUGGUGUAGCGGUGAAAUGCAUAGAUAUCAGGAAGAACACCAGUGGCGAAGGCGGCUUUCUGGACUGCAACUGACACUGAGGCUCGAAAGCCAGGGAAGCGAACGGGAUUA